GCUGAUGUAGCUCAGUUGGCUAGAGCAGCUGAUUUGUAAUCAGCAGGUCGUAGGUUCAACUCCUAUCAUCAGCUCCA
RNAcentral lists this transfer RNA (77 nucleotides) under Arcobacter sp. RNAcentral describes it as "tRNA-Thr". It matches the Rfam family "tRNA". Rfam says of the family: Transfer RNA (tRNA) molecules are approximately 80 nucleotides in length. Their secondary structure includes four short double-helical elements and three loops (D, anti-codon, and T loops). RNAcentral also lists the same sequence under 2 other names. The record is from RNAcentral. Lineage: Bacteria; Pseudomonadati; Campylobacterota; Epsilonproteobacteria; Campylobacterales; Arcobacteraceae.